UAAAUGGCGUAAGGAGAGUGUUAGUUUCAUAAAAUAUAAAGUGGUAAACGGCGGAGGUGUAGGAAUAUGGCUCAAAUUUUAAUUUUAUUUUACGUUAUGACUAUAUUUAUUUACCUAUUUCUUGUUUCGACGAAUGUUGAUGCGGGUAUCAGAUGUCGUAAUGUCUAUGAUUGUCCAAAAGCUACGUAUUGCAGGGCUGGUUCUCAUAGGGUGCAAUGUAUAAAGCACCAAUGUAAAUGUGUUCGAAUCUUUGAGUCAAUAGAUCCCGCAUGAUUCUUUAUUUAAUGUCAGACCUAUGAGAGUACACAAACAUCCUGAUAUAAUAUUUAAUAGGUUGUUAUUUAGUUAUUGUGUUGUCACUCAAUAAUUUGUUUUUUUUUUUAAAUAAUUUCAAGUCCAUGUAGUUAUGACUUUGUACUCAAAGAUGGUAGUCAUCAAAUGAAAUAGGGCACCAAAUAAUAAUCAGUAAAUAAAUUGUCCCAUUCUCUCUCAA
Long non-coding RNA from Medicago truncatula (barrel medic), 493 nucleotides. RefSeq lists it as uncharacterized. NCBI's taxonomy places the organism in Eukaryota, Viridiplantae, Streptophyta, Magnoliopsida, Fabales, Fabaceae. The record is from RefSeq and is a predicted model, not a curated record. The transcript has 2 exons.